AGAGUUUGAUCAUGGCUCAGAUUGAACGCUGGCGGCAGGCUUAACACAUGCAAGUCGAGCGGAGACUUCGGUCUUAGCGGCGAACGGGUGAGUAAUACCUAGGAAUCUGCCUAUUAGUGGGGGAUAACGGCUCGAAAGGGUCGCUAAUACCGCAUACGUCCUACGGGAGAAAGUGGGGGAUCUUCGGACCUCACGCUAAUAGAUGAGCCUAGGCCGGAUUAGCUAGUUGGUAGGGUAAAGGCCUACCAAGGCGACGAUCCGUAGCUGGUCUGAGAGGAUGAUCAGCCACACUGGAACUGAGACACGGUCCAGACUCCUACGGGAGGCAGCAGUGGGGAAUAUUGGACAAUGGGGGCAACCCUGAUCCAGCCAUGCCGCGUGUGUGAAGAAGGCCUUCGGGUUGUAAAGCACUUUAAGCGAGGAGGAAGGUCUUUGAACUAAUAUUUCAAAGAAUUGACGUUACUCGCAGAAUAAGCACCGGCUAACUCUGUGCCAGCAGCCGCGGUAA
Molecule: ribosomal RNA, 508 nt
Filed under: uncultured Moraxellaceae bacterium
Lineage: Bacteria; Pseudomonadati; Pseudomonadota; Gammaproteobacteria; Moraxellales; Moraxellaceae
Description: bacterial SSU rRNA
Rfam family: Bacterial small subunit ribosomal RNA
Source: RNAcentral